Populus trichocarpa (black cottonwood) is the source of this 771-nucleotide long non-coding RNA. RefSeq lists it as uncharacterized. The record is from RefSeq and is a predicted model, not a curated record. The transcript has 2 exons. NCBI's taxonomy places the organism in Eukaryota, Viridiplantae, Streptophyta, Magnoliopsida, Malpighiales, Salicaceae.
AACAAAGCGCUUCACUUCACGCCUUGGGCAGACAAGCACAUGUACAAAAAGUCAAGCCAACAAAAUCGAACACUCAACAAGGUGUAUUAUGCAUAAUAAAUUGAAUCAAAUUAUACAUCAUCACGAAAUUUGACCAACAUUCUAAGGGCAUACUUUCAGCUAUGUUACGUUGUCUUACAAUGUCUUUGUAUAAAUGCUGAAUGCAUAUGCAAAUUGUAAAUGCUUUCAGUCUUCUGGACAUACUGGUACUAAUGGCAUGCACUUCAGUCAGUUCACACAUGUACAAUAGUCAAACUCUUGCUUAUACACUUUGUUCAAGAGGCUGUGUGCAUCAAAUCCAAUUCUUAUAUGCUCAAAAGGAUCAGCAUUAGUGCCCAAACCAGGCCAAGGUAAACAGAUAUUGAAACAUAAAUUAAACUAAGCCAGAGAAUGAAUCUACUGAUUGCUCUCUCCUUUUUUUCCCUGGUGAUCCUAAUGGUCAUUUGGACAGGGUCAGUUUGCCAGUAAACAGACAAUUCAUAAAGUUUCUAAACUCCAAAAUAUAUGUGCACGAUGUUACUGCGAUUUACAUGCAUAGACUCACAAAGGGUUUUCCUAUUGUUCAAGCUUUUUGAGUUGUACUACAGGAGCAUAAUAGCAUAUCUGUCCAUAAUUUCAUUGAUGCACAACGCAAAUAAAAACACGUUGCAUUGAUUCAGCACUGCUUAUUUCUCAAACAGUUCACCCAGGAGAAUUUCAUGAGAAAAAAUUUGAUGCUGUGCAGAUAAAUCC